ACCUGGUCUUGACAUCCCGGAGACCCUUGGAACUAGGGGUGCUUCCAUCUGGAAGAAUCUGGAGACAGGUGCUGCAUGGCUGUCGUCAGCUCGUGUCGUGAGAUGUUGGGUUAAGUCCCGCAACGAGCGCAACCCUUGCCUUUAGUUGCCAGCAGUUCGGCUGGGCACUCUAAAGGGACUGCCGGUGUUAAACCGGAGGAAGGUGGGGAUGACGUCAAGUCCUCAUGGCCUUUAUGACCAGGGCUACACACGUACUACAAUGGCCGAUACAAAGGGCAGCGACACUGCGAGGUGAAGCCAAUCCCGUAAAAUCGGUCUCAGUCCGGAUUGGAGUCUGCAACUCGACUCCAUGAAGUUGGAAUCGCUAGUAAUCGUGGAUCAGCAUGCCACGGUGAAUACGUUCCCGGGCCUU
This 412-nucleotide ribosomal RNA is filed under the name uncultured Desulfobulbus sp. Its description in RNAcentral is "bacterial SSU rRNA". It matches the Rfam family "Bacterial small subunit ribosomal RNA", at positions 973 to 1382 of the family's 1533-position model. Lineage: Bacteria; Pseudomonadati; Thermodesulfobacteriota; Desulfobulbia; Desulfobulbales; Desulfobulbaceae. The record is from RNAcentral.